GACGAACGCUGGCGGCGUGCUUAACACAUGCAAGUCGAACGGACAGGCCCUGCUCUUGCUGGGUGCUCGAGUGGCGAACGGGUGAGUAACACGCGUGUAUCCCGUCCCUAUAUGUCGGAUAACACUACGAAAAUCGGGAUAUUACCGCAGAUGAGCUCCUGCUCCAUGGUGGUGGAUGGAAAGAUUCGGCGGUUGGGGCUGGAUUGGCGGCUUAUCCGUUUGUUUGUGGGGUAGUGGCUUACGAAGCCUUUGACGGAUAGCCGGCCUGAGAGGGGGACCAGCCACAAUGGUCCUACGGGACGGAGCAGACUCCUACGGGAGGCAGCAGUGGGGAAUAUUGCGCAGUGGGGGGAAGCCUGAGGAGACGACGCCGCGUGCGGGAUGACGGGCUUCGGGUUGUAAACCGAUGUCGCCUGUAACGAGGCGUGAGUGACGGUAAUGGGUAAGAAAGCAACGGCUAACUACGUG
This 468-nucleotide ribosomal RNA is filed under the name uncultured bacterium. Its description in RNAcentral is "partial 16S ribosomal RNA". It matches the Rfam family "Bacterial small subunit ribosomal RNA", at positions 28 to 507 of the family's 1533-position model. The record is from RNAcentral.